CAAAUAGUUAUAUGUAUGCAAGUCAGAG
RNAcentral lists this non-coding RNA (28 nucleotides) under Cricetulus griseus (Chinese hamster). The record is from RNAcentral. Lineage: Eukaryota; Metazoa; Chordata; Mammalia; Rodentia; Cricetidae.